Molecule: ribosomal RNA, 429 nt
Filed under: Chloroflexota bacterium
Lineage: Bacteria; Bacillati; Chloroflexota
Description: Chloroflexi bacterium partial 16S ribosomal RNA
Rfam family: Bacterial small subunit ribosomal RNA
Source: RNAcentral
UGGGGAAUAUUGCACAAUGGGCGCAAGCCUGAUGCAGGCAUGCCGCGUGUAUGAAGAAGGCCUUCGGGUUGUAAAGUACUUUCAGCGGGGAGGAAGGGAGUAAAGUUAAUACCUUUGCUCAUUGACGUUACCCGCAGAAGAAGCACCGGCUAACUCCGUGCCAGCAGCCGCGGUAAUACGGAGGGUGCAAGCGUUAAUCGGAAUUACUGGGCGUAAAGCGCACGCAGGCGGUUUGUUAAGUCAGAUGUGAAAUCCCCGGGCUCAACCUGGGAACUGCAUCUGAUACUGGCAAGCUUGAGUCUCGUAGAGGGGGGUAGAAUUCCAGGUGUAGCGGUGAAAUGCGUAGAGAUCUGGAGGAAUACCGGUGGCGAAGGCGGCCCCCUGGACGAAGACUGACGCUCAGGUGCGAAAGCGUGGGGAGCAAACAGG